UGGGGAAUAUUGCACAAUGGGGGAAACCCUGAUGCAGCGACGCCGCGUGAACGAAGAUGGUAUUCGUAUCGUAAAGUUCUGUCCUAUGGGAAGAUAAUGACAGUACCAUAGAAGAAAGCUCCGGCUAAAUACGUGCCAGCAGCCGCGGUAAUACGUAUGGAGCGAGCGUUGUCCGGAAUUAUUGGGCGUAAAGGGUACGCAGGCGGUUUAAUAAGUCGAAUGUUAAAGAUCGGGGCUCAACCCCGCAAAGCAUUGGAAACUGAUAAACUUGAGUAGUGGAGAGGAAAGUGGAAUUCCUAGUGUAGUGGUGAAAUACGUAGAUAUUAGGAGGAAUACCAGUAGCGAAGGCGACUUUCUGGACACAAACUGACGCUGAGGUACGAAAGCGUGGGGAGCAAACAGG
This 403-nucleotide ribosomal RNA is filed under the name bacterium. RNAcentral's name for it is "partial 16S ribosomal RNA". It matches the Rfam family "Bacterial small subunit ribosomal RNA", at positions 355 to 776 of the family's 1533-position model. The record is from RNAcentral.